This 229-nucleotide ribosomal RNA is filed under the name uncultured bacterium. RNAcentral describes it as "partial 16S ribosomal RNA". It matches the Rfam family "Bacterial small subunit ribosomal RNA", at positions 568 to 796 of the family's 1533-position model. The record is from RNAcentral.
UACGUAGGCGGAAAAUUAAGUCAGUGAUGAAAUCCUGCAGCUUAACUGUAGAACUGUCAUUGAUACUGGUUUUCUUGAAUACAGUUGAGGUAGGCGGAAUGUGUAAUGUAGCGGUGAAAUGCUUAGAUAUUACACAGAACACCGAUUGCGAAGGCAGCUUACUAAACUGUUAUUGACGCUGAGGUACGAAAGCGUGGGGAGCGAACAGGAUUAGAUACCCUGGUAGUCC